RNAcentral lists this ribosomal RNA (253 nucleotides) under uncultured bacterium. RNAcentral describes it as "partial 16S ribosomal RNA". It matches the Rfam family "Bacterial small subunit ribosomal RNA", at positions 524 to 776 of the family's 1533-position model. The record is from RNAcentral.
UACGCAGGGGGCUAGCGUUGCUCGGAAUCACUGGGCGUAAAGGGUGCGUAGGCGGGUCUUUAAGUCAGGGGGGAAAUCCUGGAGCUCAACUCCAGAACUGCCUUUGAUACUGAGGAUCUUGAGUCCGGGAGAGGUGAGUGGAACUGCGAGUGUAGAGGUGAAAUUCGUAGAUAUUCGCAAGAACACCAGUGGCGAAGGCGACUCACUGGCCCGGUACUGACGCUGAGGCACGAAAGCGUGGGGAGCAAACAGG